UAAAAGUUACUUUGCAAAUAUUUUAAUAGAAUUUUAGAGCGGGAGGGGACCUAGCUUGAUCUCUUGGCCACCACAAACCUCCCAUUCACAGAUGUGGAAACAGGCUCCAAGAGUGUUAAAUAUUGUUUCCAAAAUAGCCUAGAUUGUUCACUGUUUUUUAGUAGUAUUCUCAGUAUUUUUUUUCUUUUUCUUGAGUUGAUAUUUGUAUCUAUUGCCAAAUGAUCAAAGUGAGUAAGUCUAGUUAACAUUUGUCACCAUACAUAGAAAAUUUUUUUUUCUUGUGGUGAAGACUUUAAGAUCUAUUCUGUCAUGAUCUUUGAAAUAUACAAUAUAGUAUGAACUAUAGCCACCAUGCUGUACAUGACAUCCCCGUGACUUUUUUUUAUAACUGUACCUUUUGACCCCUUACGCCCGAUUUCCUAACCCUGUUAUAUCCCCUGUAAGCAUUUCGUAAAGAGCUCAAAUGCUGCCCAGUAUACACUGAAUCUUUCCGUUAGGGAAAUGCUCUCUGAUGCACUGUGGAGUGGAUGUGUGUUUCUGCAAUGUUUGGAGCACAAAGGUUGCACAUUCUCAAGAAGGAGUUAGGGGCUAAUUAAAAACCUCUUGGAUAUCUGAGUCACCUUGACUGUUGCAUCUGGGAAGUGGAUGGAAGAGAUUAGCUAGUUGCCACCAGCUCCGGUUUCCUGACUGUAAUUGAACUGCAUUCCGUUCAGCUGCAAAUGCUGUCAUUCCUCCUCACUGUCACCUCAAGGAGAUGUGUGGGGUGCAGAUUUCAGCUGCCCCUGUGGGAGCUGAGUGCCUUGGGGAUCCUUCCUUCUGAUCCAGUUGCCCUUGUUGCUUUUCCAUGUCUACUCCAGAGGCCACUCUGUUGAAAAGAAAGCACAGGUCAAUUUAAUUACUAGACCAAAGAAACUAGAAGGGAAAAAGAGAAAAGGUUUCCUCCCCUAGAGCAUCCACCUGGAAGAAAGGGCACCUUUGUCUCAGCAGGCUCCUGGGUCACCUUCUCAGAUCAACAGUGUGUUCAUUAAACGUCAAAGAAUUUUAACAUUCGCUCAAAGGAAGUGCAGUUCGGAGGGAAGUCUGCCGCAAAGGGGAAGCUACACAACCUGUCUCCACAAUUUUUCACUGCUUGCUGCUGGGUAUUGACACACCACUACUUCCCUCUAAUAGCUCAGAGCCUUUGAAUUGAAAUAUUGUAACAGAUUUGACCCACGGGGAAAGGAGAAGAGGAAAUGACUUUUAUCGAGGGCCCACCACGUACCGAAUACUUUACAUAUAUUUUCUCAUUUGACCCUUACAGCGACCCUAUGAAAUGAGUAUUAUUACUUCCCGUUUACAGAUGAGGAAACAGAAUCAGAAGGUUAAGGAAGAAUUUCAAAGUCUAGCAGCUGGGGUAUGGGUGGAACAGAAAUCCAUUACUGGGUCUUUGCAUUCAGAAGCCUGUGUUCAGCCCUGCCUCUGCCCGCAGUUCACACACAAGGGCUCCGUAGGACCCUCUGGCUACAGGCUUUGGGGAUUGGUGAGACAGAGUGGGGCAGCAGGUCCAAGGCCUGGGUUUCCCUUGGAAACAGGACAAUGGAAGAAUCUUCACUCCAGGGAGUGUCAGCGAGGGAGACACUGGUUGGAAGGAAGAACAAUGCUGCUGGAGGGGUUUCCAUUAAUUCCUUCCUUUUACA
Molecule: long non-coding RNA, 1676 nt
Organism: Ailuropoda melanoleuca (giant panda)
Lineage: Eukaryota; Metazoa; Chordata; Mammalia; Carnivora; Ursidae
Exons: 4
Source: RefSeq, a predicted model, not a curated record